AGUGAACGCUGGCGGUAGGCCUAACACAUGCCAGUCGAACGGCAGCACAGUAAGAGCUUGCUCUUACGGGUGGCGAGUGGCGGACGGGUGAGGAAUACAUCGGAAUCUACUUUUUCGUGGGGGAUAACGUAGGGAAACUUACGCUAAUACCGCAUACGACCUACGGGUGAAAGCAGGGGAUCUUCGGACCUUGCGCGAUUGAAUGAGCCGAUGUCGGAUUAGCUAGUUGGCGGGGUAAAGGCCCACCAAGGCAACGAUCCGUAGCUGGUCUGAGAGGAUGAUCAGCCACACUGGAACUGAGACACGGUGCAGACUCCUACGGGAGGCAGCAGUGGGGAAUAUUGGACAAUGGGCGCAAGCCUGAUCCAGCAAUACCGCGUGGGUGAAGAAGGCCUUCGGGUUGUAAAGCCCUUUUGUUGGGAAAGAAAAGCAGCAGGUUAAUACCCCGCUGUUCUGACGGUACCCAAAGAAUAAGCACCGGCUAACUUCGUG
This 492-nucleotide ribosomal RNA is filed under the name uncultured bacterium. Its description in RNAcentral is "partial 16S ribosomal RNA". It matches the Rfam family "Bacterial small subunit ribosomal RNA", at positions 29 to 507 of the family's 1533-position model. The record is from RNAcentral.